This 9637-nucleotide long non-coding RNA is filed under the name Medicago truncatula (barrel medic). Its description in RNAcentral is "long non-coding RNA (MTRU_LNC002161)". The record is from RNAcentral. Lineage: Eukaryota; Viridiplantae; Streptophyta; Magnoliopsida; Fabales; Fabaceae.
AGGAUUACCUUCUUCCAAAUAUACUUUGGAAAAGAAAUCCUUUUUAGAAUAACGACAAUUACCUGCAUACUUAGAUGCUUUUUCAAAGUUGAAAGCAUCAUAUGUAGCUUGAGCAAAUUGUCCAUAAUGUAGUAAAUACUUACGUAGGUCAAUAUGUAAAGGUUCCAAUAGACCUUUCCACUUACUUUUCCCACUAAGUUCUCUCCAUGUUUUUGCUAUGCUACCCAUAUCUUUUUUUGAAGGAAUGCUACCCAUAUCUACUUUCUUCCUCACUCAAAUAGACACAAUAUGUAAUAUAACUCAAUAGUUAUAUCAAGCUUGCAGAUGUCAUGCAUAGGCUUUUGCUUACUUAUAUACACCCAUCUACACAGAAAAUGUACUUUAACUUUUGUUAAUUCAAGUUUUUUUAUUAAUUAGUAAAUAAACAGCGCAUAUUCUAACCCCUCAAAUUAAGUAUAGAACCACUUUGUUUAAUGGCUCACGAGUUUGUUGAGGUAAUUCUUAAUUGUCUCUUUAAUGGAAAAAUGUACUAUACUUCACUAAAAUAUUAUCUCAUUCAAACUAGGUAAUUGGAUUUAUUUUGGUAUAUGAUACUCUCAAUCUCGAGAUUUAAUUUUUUAAAAUAAAAUCUCCACGUGUUUUUCUUGUUUAUAAAUAAAAUCGUAAUUAUUUUCUUUUGAGGGGAUAGAUAAAUAUUUGUUGAAUGUUUUUACCUGGGUCAAGUUGAUAUAUUCAAUUACACAAAUAGCUGGAAUGGGUUACUUUUUUGGCUUUUUUGAAUGCCAUAGUUGAAAUGGACUUGGUCUUAUCGUUACUCAUGUUUCCCAUGACAAUUUUUUCUUAAAAAAAUGACCUUAUGCUGCACGCUCUUAUAUUAAUAUUCGUUCAUAUAUAUUACUUUCUCAUUCUCACAAAAAUUAUCAUAGUAGAUUAUUUCACACAAAGCAAAAAGAAGUUAUAAUUUACAAAUAAAAGAAAUAUAGAAUAACAAUUUUUAGAACCAACUCCAUCAACGUUUAAUAUUAGUCGAUUAUCAUUAUCAUAAAAGAUGUAAAUUUUGAAUGAUAGGCUUCCUAUCAAAAACAAUUUGGUGCGUCACAAUGUCAUCAACUUGGAUUCGUUACUGUGUUUAGGAGACUGCAAAAAGGAAGGAACUAUUAAUCAUUUAUUUAUGAAGUGCGUUUUCUUUGGUAGCAUUUAGGUUGAUGUUAUGUGUUGGUUAGUAGUUCAAAGUGUGUAGCCUCAUGAUCCGGGUCUGCAUGCAUUUCAAUUUGCUGGCUCCCACUUGUUUCGUAAGGAUAUUCGUCAUUGUUUUCACAUCAUAUGGAUGACAUUUUUAAGUCAUUUAGAAUGAGUGUACUCUCAGAUUUUCUCCGCCAAAAUCUCGUUUAAGAAACCACAUUUAAAUCGUGUUAAACUUUAUUCAUGGUAGUGGCUUAAAGUUCUGAAACCACACUUAAUUUUCGGCUUUAACAUGUGGUAGUCUUACCCUUCUAUAUGUAUUGGGUAUUUUAUCAUGUGAAGUUUCUUCACUUGUAAUCUUUUGUCUCCUAUAUAUUAGGCACACAUGUGCUUCAUAGGAGUGUUUUAAUUCAAGAUUACGCCCCAAAAAUAUUGAUAAGAAAAAAAGAAGAUAAAAUCUAAAAUUAAAGAUACCAAAUCUAUUACGGAAAAAAUCUUAAAUGAUAUAAUUUGGCAAUGAAUUCCACCCAUAUUAAUUAGAUAUUACCUCAUUACACUAAAAACACAUGUUAGCUAAUUUUUUUUUUUUUUUGAAACAAUGUUAGCUAACUUAUAAGCACAGUUGUUCUCUUCCUAAAAUAAAAACUUCUAGUAACGUGAACAAUUAGCUCACCAAUUUUACCACCACCAAGGAAUUAGUAAAUGAUUAGAAAAAACUUGAACUGUUACAUUUGAACGAUAAUAUAUGUAUAAGUGCUUAGGUUACAAGAGAAACCACCCAUGAGGCACCUCUGCAAUCUCUAAAAAUCCUCUCACAUGAAGACAAUUUCCAUCAGAAUUGUAUUUAAGCCACGGAUUAGGGGGAGAAAUCAUAUUAACCUAAAUGAUAUCUUGAGUGAAUGGAGAAUGACAAGCCACCUUGAAACAUUUUAAAAUUUUAAAUCAUGUACAGAAGAUUUCAUAGUACAUUUGGAGUUUAAAGCUGACAUACUAAUGGAACUAUUAAGUAAGUUUUGCAAUUAAACACGAUUAAACACUGAUUUAUCAAAUCUAAAAUUAUUCCUACAUCCUCAAAUAAGUGAGACUAUAAGUAGACUAUAAGCACAAAGUUAAGUUACAACCCUUAGACAAGAAAAAGAUUAAGCCUACAGUAAUUGUAGUCAAAAUCAAACAUGAGAGAUGUCAAAUUAAACCACCUGUAUACAUGAAGUUUAACCUUUUCGCUUAAAGAAUUAAUAUCUUCCUCCUUAUGUUGAAAUGAGCGUCUAUUCAUCUUUUUUCAAAUUACUCACGACUGACAAACAAAAAAAUAUUAAAAGUCUUUUGAAAUUGAUUUGAGAGGCCUUGUACCCGAUUCAUUUUUUCUUUAGCUAAUAUUGAUUCUGACAUAAAAGGAAACUAUGACAAUUGGGACAAUAGGCAAUUGCUGAAAGUAAUAAUAGGGCAACAAUGAAAGAUCUACUAACUAUUUCACAUCAAGUUUGAUAUGAUGUCAUGCUUGAUAAAUGGAAGAUGAAAUGAAGAUGCGUGUUUGAUAAAUUGUCAUAAAAAAUAAUAAAUAAAGGAGAUCGUGAUAGUCUGGUAGAUUCCUCAAUUCAUCAAACACGCAUAUCCUAUCAAUCUUCAAUUCAUUUCUAGGGUUUUACCGUAGAAUCAUGGAUACCCCUUUCCCGUUCUGAUUUUGUUCCCCUUUUUAGGCUUCCUUUUAUUUUAACCGUGUGAAAGCUACCUGCAUCAAUUAAAAUUAAACAAAAAAAAAUAUAAAACAUUUGGUAUUAGGACAUUAUAUCUCUUAUUAAGCCUACCGAUAUAUAUGAAGCUUAACCUUUUCGCUUAAAGAAUUAAUAUCUUUCUCCUUAUGUUGAAAUGAGCGUCUAUUCAUCUUUUUUCAAAUUACUCACACGACUGACGAACAAAAAAAUAUUAAAAGCCUUUUGAAAUUGAUUUGAGAAGCCUUUUACUCGAUUCAUUUUUUCUUUAGCUAAUAUUGAUUCUUUACUAUCAAAAAUGAAAAUAGACAUAAAAGGAAACUAUGACAAUUGGGACAAUAGGCAAUUGCUGAAAGUAAUAGGGCAACAAAGAAAGAUCUACUUUUUUAGCUACAAAUUUAUUAAAAAAAGUAAAAAUAAAUAUAUUGGAGGACAAUAUACCUAACCCUGAAAAUGAAAAAUAAAAGAAAAAAAUUGGGUUUUUUCUAAAUUACCUUUGAAGAAUGGUGGGUAAUUUACCCACCAACCAAUGAAAAUGAGCAAUUUAUUUAUGGUGUCAAGAUAGUUCAUGAAUAUGUGCUUAUGCGGCUAAUGUGUAUUGGUUGGAGUAAAUUACCCAUCAUUCUUUCAUGGGUAGCCUAGUUGUCACCAAAAAAUUGUGGAUCGAAGGUUAUAAUGUUGAGGCAAGAAGGUUCGGGGAAGUAACUACACAUGUAUGAUGGACCGAUUCUAGAACAAAUAGACAACACCCACCCCACCCCACACACUCAUAUUUCUCUCGUACAAAUUUAACAACAUAAUUCAAUAACGUAAUAUAUCAACAAUAAUAAUUGCGAUAAUAUAAUUAAACAUAAACAAUGAGUCAAACAAUUUUUUUCAUCUAGUUUGUUCAUGCAUGUCCUGGUUUCUUCUUAUAUUUUGGGUGAAUCAAACUUGUCCGAAUAUCAUUAACAAAUAUGAUCAAGGUAAUGUUUAACUCGACCGGUAGGGUUGGGAAUAGGCCAGAUUGGCCUACAGGGGCCUACGGUCUGGCUUGACAUGUUUAGUAGAUAUGCUUAGGCUUUUUAGAAAGCUUGUUUCAUCAAAUAGGUCAGGCUUAGGCUUCCAGAAAAGCAUGUUAAGCCUAAUAGGCCAGCCUAUUAAUACUUAUUUUUUUUUAUUUUUUUAUAUUAAAAUAAGAGGAGGGAUAUAUUGACUCCAAGAGUAACUCAAUGGAGUUACUCCAAAUCACUACCAUCCAUUUCAUUUUAAUCUAACAGCCUUGGUUAAUUAUAUUCUUGUGCACCGAACAAGAUUCCACACCAGAUCGAACCAUUAGAUUUUGUUGUACAAAACUAUCAAAGACAUUUCUUUCUGAUUCAUACCUUCUGGCAAAAUUCAACAAAGAGAUCGAAACAAUUAAAUAGAUUAACAAUUCUUGUAAAAAAAAAUAGAUUAACAAUUAAAAUCCCAAUUCAAAUUGAUGCAAUUGAAAUAUAUUCUCAAUCAGAAACUUUGAUGCAAUUUAAUUUUUGACGAUGGAUAUAUAUUCCCAAGAGAUCUCAUAUUUCCAAUUACGAAGGAUAUAUUACCAACCAGAAUUUUGAUGAUGGAGAUAUAUUCUCAAUAAGCAACAUUAAUUUGAAUCUUGUUGUUAAUAGGUAUGAAUCGGAAAGAAAAGUCUUGAUCUUUUUGUUGUUAACAAAAUCCAAUGUUGAUAUGGUGUGGAAUCUUAUUCGGUGCACAAGAAUAUAAUUAAUUUGGGCUGUUAGAUUCAAAUAAAAUGGAUGGUAGUGAUCUCGAGUAACUCUAUCGAGUUACUCUUGGAGUAAAUAUAUCCUUCCCCUUAAAAUAAUUGCGUACAUUUAAAAUAUAAACAUCUUUUUCUCUAUCUAUUAGUCCCUUAAUAGACUUUGUUGUUAUAGGCAUUUAAGUAUGCUUUAAUCUAGUUAAAAUUUAGUUGUAGUGAAAUAGACUUUUAAGUAGGCUUUAAGGCAUGUUUAGCCUAUUUAGUGGGUCAAAUGAACUAUUUGAUGGUCUUGAUGUAAAGUAGGCAUGUAAGUAGGCUUUCAGGCCAGUCCAACCUUUUAAAUAGGCUAGGUUAGACAAAAAAAAAAGACCUAUAAUAGGCCAUAGGCCAGGCUUGUUAAUUUUUUCGUAGGCCAGGCUCAAGCCUAUCAAAGCCUGGCCUGGCCUAUUCCAACCCCUAUCGACCGGUUCAUUCGAACUAUACUCAACAAAUAUAGAUAACAUAGUUUUCACAUCGUUGUUGUUUUGAAGUUUCAUAUGAGUAAACUGGAGGAUUCUAUCUAAGUCAAUCGAUAGACAGUGAUACCCAACACUAACCAUCCUUCUUGUGUCUUUGUGCUCGAGGCAACCAUUAAUUUAGUCUUGUUGAUCCUUGAAGUAAGAUAACGUAACAUAAAAAAGGAUUCUAAACGUAUUUGGUUUCCCCAUGUUGUCGUAAAUUGUUACUAGGUUAAUGCUUAUUUUGAUCGGACAAGUGUUUGUAACACCUGAAGCUGACGAGGACGGGGAAUGAUCACUAGUGCACAAGACAUGGAAAUGAACGACUCCUAGCUAGCAACUUUUUGGCAAAAUAGAAAUGAAUUCACAACAAAAUGAAAGGGGUCAUGAGGUCAUAUAUGUAUAGGACAACUUGAUUGAAAGAAUGCUUAUAAGAAUUGUUUGACACUACCUAUACCAGCAAGAUGCAUUUUAUUUUUGGUAGACCAUUCCAUAAGAACUUCAUAGUUAAACAUGUUUGACUUAGAGAAAUUUUGGGACGAGUGAUGUUCUGGGAAACUUCAUAAAGUGUGGGAGUGAGAACAAAUACUAAAAAUACUCGUGUUAGUUUGUGGGAUCAAUCAACAAUAUUGAAAGUCGUAUGGGAGGUUAUAAUGCUCAUGGUUCUGUGUUGUGGAGUGAAAAUGAACCCAACACAUUUAUUUACAGAAGUUUUUUGUGUAUUGUAGACCAUAUAAAAUUUCGGUGCAUCACAUGUCUUAGAAAAUCAUGUCAUUUACUUGUUCAAAUUAUAGAAUUUGAAAUGUGCCAAAUCCAUAAGUCACCAGUUUUUAAACAAAUUUUCCUUUAGUAUAUUUACAUGUUUCAGAUUCAAUAAAUUGAAAGUAUAAAAUACAAUUUAGUUUGGAGAAUAUGAACCAAAGAUACACAUGGUUUUGCAGUUUUCUGGACUUGUGUACACCUGUUCCGAACAUAUACACUUUAUGAACACAAUAUAACAACAUAGAACACAAUGUAACACAUAAUAUUCUUCAUAAUGUAAUUCCGAAGCUUUAACACAUAAUAUUAUCCAAAAAUAUCAUACCCAAGCCUUAACACAUAAUAUCAUAAGAAAUGUAAUUAAUUAACCCACAAUAAAAUAAAAACCAAAUAAGUCAAGAUUAAAGAAACAAUAGAUAUAAGACAAGAUAUCUCACAAAUUCAACAAUGAAAAAAAGAAUAAUAAAUGAAUAAGGGUUUUUUAUGACAGAGAAAACUCACUCAGAGGUAUGACUUUCUGCAACGCUACAUCCACAACUUCAUUUGAAGGAGCUGAUGAAAGAACCGCCAAACGGAAAACCACCUUUAUUAGGAUGCGAUUGGAUAAUACCCCUCAAAGCUUUGACCUUAUUUUCUUGAUCCAAUCUAUCGCGAAAGUGGAGGAGAAGUUAACGAGUAGCACUCUUCAUUCUAUUCUUCAUAGGGGGAGGGGAUUAUCGAUCAUAUCAUAUAGCUUGAAGGUACACAAACUGAAACCAUAACAAUGAGCAUCUUUGAGAAAUUAGGUCAUGUUUGAAACCAUAACCAUAACAAACUGAAACCUACAAUUGUUUACUUAAUUAGUUUCACAAUGUUCUAACAAAAUAGCUAAACCUCUCUCUUAGUACUUAACCCACUUUUUUUUAUCACACGUAAAACUCUUUCAGAUUGAAUAUUUUUUUUUUUGUAGAAGUCAAACUUUUGCAAUAGCUAUUGGCGGAGUGAGUAGAAUUCCCUAGGUAAAAAUUUCCAAAAAUGAUUCAGCUUCUUCUUAACUUCUUUUUUGCGUGUGAGUUGUUCUUAGCCAAAUAUUUUUAGCCAGAAGAUUCAUUAUUGAUCAGUCCCGACCUCGUGAGAUUGAUGUAAAAACACAUUUGAUUUAAUAUUUUGGAUGUUUUCCUUUAUCAUUAGAUACACCGUUGACAAAACAAAACUGGCACAACAAUUUAAUUUUUAUAAACCAUUGUCAAUAAGUAAAGAUUAACAUUAUUAAAAAUACAAGGCUAAUAUAUAGCUAACUUGUACUCAAGAUUAGCUAUCCUUACAACAAGGAUGAAAACUUGUAAAGAUACAUAAAUACACACAACAAGCAAACUAAGCCAAAUUAUUCAUUAACUUUUACGAAAUUCAAACCUACAAUUUAGCACGCAUGAUUAGAACAUCAUCAUUAUGAUCAUCCAUUAGCUUCCAAGUACCAUCAGAUUGUUGAACCAUACCCUUAUUCUCCACUACCCUCCAAUUCUCAGGAAUAUGAUACUCAUCUUUUAAACCAUCAUUACUUUUGUUUAAUAGUGCAAUGUCACGAUUCACCUCCAAAUUGAACCCUCCUUUGCUUCCUUGUGUUCCUGCAAUUCCAUGCAAGUAAACCUCCAUGUUAUGUUCACUAACACCACUCUUCAAGUACUUUGAUUUUUCAGUGUCGAUUUCUAAUUCCUCUCCCACCUUUGAAUAUGCAAGGCGUAGACUACUUGGAACAAUGUCGUUGUUGUUUCGAAUAAACAAUGCUCUCAAAUCAUUGUUGUCGGAGAAAAUCUUUUCAAAGUUAGAAUUUCCAACACGAGGUGAACCAAAUGCAAAUAAUGUGACUGGACAUGUUUUUUGAGGUUGCCCUUUUGGUAUGUUGAAUUUAUUAGCAACUAUAUCCAUAGAGCUUAUAGUUGCAAGUGCACCACCCAAGCUGUGUCCCGUUACAGUUAUGCUAAUUUCUUCAUUCUUAUAUAGCUCCACAAGUCUGCUAAUCUCGUUUAAGACCUUUAUAAUUGCCACAUUACAAAUAUUAAAUAACAUAACUUGCCAAAAUCAAGUACUAUAAAUAUUGAAAAAGAAAAGUGAUGUAUAUUUAGCUUGAGAUUUUUUUUUUUGGGUUAUUUGGAGUAGUUAUUAAUUAUAAAAAUCACCAUCAAAAAAAGUUUAAUUAAAGGCCCAAGUCAUUAGCAUUAAGCUAAGUGCCAUAGGUGUCAAAUUUGUUUUCUUUUACUAUGUAUUUAGGUUAUAGGGGCGAUAUUUUAACCAAAAAAAGUUAUAAUUUUACUUAAGGUAUUAAAUUUCCUAUAUAUUAAAAAAAAAAAAAAAAAAAAAAACCUUAAGGUACAUCACUAAAAAAACAAAAUUUAGCGAGGGAAAAGGUAAAAUCUGUCUUUAAUUCCGUCAUUAAAUUUUGUGACCAAGGAAUUUGUGAAGGAUUUUAUUUUUUCCGUCACUAAUUUUCCUCACUAAUUUUAUCUUUCCUAGUAGUGGUAUUAAAUUUGUCAAAAAUAAAGAAAAGUUUAGGUAUUAAAUUCAAAUCUUUUAUGAGACUGUUGUAAAAUAAUUAUCAAUAUCUCUAUAAUUAACAAAAACUUCAUAAGUAAAUUUAGGUAUAACCUUUUUUUGUGUCAAGUAACCUAUGGAUAAAAAUUCACCUUUUUAUGGUGAAUAAAUGGACUGAUAUUUGAAACCAAACUCCUACAUAUAUUAGGAGGUUUAAUCUAUUUAUCAUGAUAUUAUUAUUCUUGAAAUACUCUUACACAAGUAUUUAAAUAAUGAGACAUGAUUGUACAUAUAUAUGUGUAAGAAUUGAUAUAAUUUUUUUUCUUCAAGAAAAUAGAUAUUUAAAUAAUGAGAUAUUACGAUGUCGAUAUAUAAACUAAAUUUAUAAUUACCUGUUUUCUAGCGCUAGAAUCAGCUAAUGGUAAACUUGAGUUAUCUGAUGUGUAAAGAGAGUAAAAUCCAUUGUGUAACUGCACAUCCGAUUUAGGACCAAAUAUAAGUGGUGCAGGAUCCAAAUCAAUAUUAAAGUUUUGAACCCACUCAGCACCCUGAAUUGUUCCUCUCCAAGCAACAACUAUGUCCCUCCUCCCCAAUGCUUCCUUAGCUGUUAAAAUUAUUUAAGAGUUUAUUAGUAAAAUUUGUAAGUUGGUUAUAAGAUUUACCGUAGUUUAACUAGGAUUAUAUAUAAAAUUUAUUCCUAUACUUAUUAUGCUCAAUUUUUCUCAUUCUAUCAAUUUCAAAUAAUCAAUAUUUAUCUCAAUUUCUUUUUAUAUGCUCUACCAUACUUCUCAAACAUUACCUUCAUCAGUGGCAACAGCAACGUACCCCAUCCAAUUUGUUUCCAAACUCCAAGCAUCCUUUGAAAAUAUUGAAGUUAAGAGAAACGCUGCACUAUCUCUUGCUUUGGAAGUUGCAUACAAAUACUUGGUCACAGAAUACUUGAAAGGAUUACCUUUUUCCAAAUAUACUUUGGAAAAAAAAUCCUUUUUAGAAUAACGACAAUUACCUGCAUACUUAGAUGCCUUUUCAAAGUUGAAACCAUCAUAUGUAGCUUGAGCAAAUUGUCCAUAAUGUAGUAAAUACCUACGUAGGUCAAUGUGUAAAGGUUCCAAUAGACCUUUCCACUUACUUUUCCCACUAAGUUCUCUCCAUGUUCUUGCUAUGCUACCCAUAUCUAUUUCUUCCUCACACAAAUAGACACAAUAUGUGAUAUAACUCAAUAAUUAUAUCAAGCAUGUAUGUCAUGCAUAGGC